Molecule: ribosomal RNA, 490 nt
Filed under: uncultured bacterium
Lineage: Bacteria
Description: partial 16S ribosomal RNA
Rfam family: Bacterial small subunit ribosomal RNA
Source: RNAcentral
AUUGAACGCUGGCGGCAGGCCUAACACAUGCAAGUCGAACGGUAACAGGAAGAAGCUUGCUUCUUUGCUGACGAGUGGCGGACGGGUGAGUAAUGUCUGGGAAACUGCCUGAUGGAGGGGGAUAACUACUGGAAACGGUAGCUAAUACCGCAUAACGUCGCAAGACCAAAGAGGGGGACCUUCGGGCCUCUUGCCAUCGGAUGUGCCCAGAUGGGAUUAGCUAGUAGGUGGGGUAACGGCUCACCUAGGCGACGAUCCCUAGCUGGUCUGAGAGGAUGACCAGCCACACUGGGACUGAGACACGGUCCAGACUCCUACGGGAGGCAGCAGUGGUGAAUAUUGCACAAUGGGCGCAAGCCUGAUGCAGCCAUGCCGCGUGUAUGAAGAAGGCCUUCGGGUUGUAAAGUACUUUCAGCGGGGAGGAAGGGAGUAAAGUUAAUACCUUUGCUCAUUGACGUUACCCGCAGAAGAAGCACCGGCUAACUCCGUG